AGACUGAGAACCCCUGCACUAGUUGUUUUAUGUUGAGUAGAAUGUGAGAUUAAUCCUGUCAGCAUAUACUGUAUAGGCUCUGUUAUCAUAUUUCUAAUGAGAAAUCAAAAAAGUGCCAUGCUGAACGGCUGCCUCAGUGAGUUGAUUCAUCAUCGCUGCUCCCCAGACAAACACCUCUAAUUGGCUCAUUCCCCUGCACUCAACCAGACACAAAGGUUUCCAGGUUUGUCAGCUGCUGUGGGCUCACUGCGAGUGGAGGAGAGGAGUCUUAAUGCAGCGGUGAGCAGGCCUGAAAGGCAUGAUGUCAAUCUAAACUGGAAGGAUGCAUGCUGAUCAGUGUUGAAACCCAUCAUACCCGGCUCCUUGCCUCUGCUUUUCUGCUCAUGACUGUCAGGGAAUUCUUCAAAAACAAUGCCAAGGAAGCACAGUACAAACUCUCUGCAUCCUUUAAAACUUGAACUCUUCAUAAAAGGAGCAACUGGAGCACUGCAGGAAAGCACAAUGGACUUUUUUUCAGGCACACCUUGACAGAAAAAAAUAAAUUAAAAAAAGGGAUCUCAGCCUCUUAAGGCCAGGAGGAAGACAGUAUCUCUCCCAUCAGUCGAGGUGGGUCAGAGGAGAAAAGUUGCUCCUGUCCAGCAGUGAAGGAGACUUGAAAGCUCUUUUCCACCCACUCCCUGACUGUGGUCAUCAGCGUAUGUACUGGAGAGGAGGCCCAAUUCCACCUGUGACGCCAAAAAGAGGUUAAUUAUGCUUUACAGAUGAUCUGUAAAUGAGUAGCAGUGUCAUUCUUCGAUUCUCAGCAAUUAUCACCAGGAUUUGAAAAAAAUAAUAAAAAGCUGAAGAGUUGGAGUGCUGCCUGGAACUUAUGACUUUGUUUCUAAGAUGGUGCUCUUUGGUUUAUGGAUAAACUUGUCCACAGUUUUUUGCCAGCACCUCCAAAAACUACUUGGCUGUCUGCUAGACCCUGUGGCAGCAUUAGGUGUGGUCAGUGUAAUCACUGCUCCAGUGUGAUCAAAUGUAAAAACUUUCAGGAUACACACGGAGACAAAAUGUAUGAAAUUUAUUAACUGUAAAACAACAUCUGUUAUUUACAAAUUGGAAUGUCCACUCUGCAAUGUGUUUUAUAUUGGCAGAACUAAACACAGACUACAGGAUAGAGUCUCAUAGCAUAAAUAUGUGAUAAAAACUAAAAAUGACAACUAUCCAAUGGCUCGUCAUUUUAAAAAUAAACAUUACAGUGAUCCCUCCAUCCUAAGGGCUAUAGGUAUUGAUCAUAUAUCACAAACCACAAGGGGAGACAAUAGGCUGAGGCAACUAAAUCAACAAGAGAGUUUCUGGAUCUUUAAGUUAAAGGCAACCCUUUAUCCAGGUCUUAAUGAAGAUCUACAAUAUUGCCAUUUCCUGUAAAGACUUA
Long non-coding RNA from Myripristis murdjan (pinecone soldierfish), 1417 nucleotides. RefSeq lists it as uncharacterized. NCBI's taxonomy places the organism in Eukaryota, Metazoa, Chordata, Actinopteri, Holocentriformes, Holocentridae. The record is from RefSeq and is a predicted model, not a curated record. The transcript has 7 exons.